GAUGAACGCUGGCGGCGUGCCUAAUACAUGCAAGUCGAGCGAACAGACGAGGAGCUUGCUCCUCUGACGUUAGCGGCGGACGGGUGAGUAACACGUGGAUAACCUACCUAUAAGACUGGGAUAACUUCGGGAAACCGGAGCUAAUACCGGAUAAUAUAUUGAACCGCAUGGUUCAAUAGUGAAAUACGGUUUUGCUGUCACUUAUAGAUGGAUCCGCGCCGCAUUAGCUAGUUGGUAAGGUAACGGCUUACCAAGGCAACGAUGCGUAGCCGACCUGAGAGGGUGAUCGGCCACACUGGAACUGAGACACGGUCCAGACUCCUACGGGAGGCAGCAGUAGGGAAUGUUCCGCAAUGGGCGAAAGCUUGACGGAGCAACGCCGCGUGAGAGAUGAAGGUCUUCGGAUCGUAAAACUCUGUUAUUAGGGAAGAACAAAUGUGUAAGUAACUAUGCACGUAUUGACGGUAACUAAUCAGAAAGCCACGGCUAACUACGUG
RNAcentral lists this ribosomal RNA (497 nucleotides) under uncultured bacterium. Its description in RNAcentral is "partial 16S ribosomal RNA". It matches the Rfam family "Bacterial small subunit ribosomal RNA", at positions 28 to 507 of the family's 1533-position model. The record is from RNAcentral.